Molecule: non-coding RNA, 84 nt
Organism: Blastosporella zonata
Lineage: Eukaryota; Fungi; Basidiomycota; Agaricomycetes; Agaricales; Lyophyllaceae
Source: the annotation of a GenBank genome assembly
GGGCACAUGGUGUAGUUGGUUAUCACGCCCGCUUAGCAUCUCGCUGACUGCGGGCGGUCCCCGGUUCAAUUCCGGGUGUGUCCA